Molecule: transfer RNA, 77 nt
Filed under: Candidatus Uhrbacteria bacterium
Lineage: Bacteria; Candidatus Uhriibacteriota
Description: tRNA-Arg
Rfam family: tRNA
About the family: Transfer RNA (tRNA) molecules are approximately 80 nucleotides in length. Their secondary structure includes four short double-helical elements and three loops (D, anti-codon, and T loops).
Source: RNAcentral
GCGGCCGUAGCUCAGCUGGAUAGAGCGCUUCCCUGCGAAGGAAGAGGUCAAACGUUCGAAUCGUUUCGGCCGCACCA